Molecule: ribosomal RNA, 501 nt
Filed under: uncultured bacterium
Lineage: Bacteria
Description: partial 16S ribosomal RNA
Rfam family: Bacterial small subunit ribosomal RNA
Source: RNAcentral
AUUGAACGCUGGCGGCAUGCCUUACACAUGCAAGUCGAACGGCAGCACGGGUGCUUGCACCUGGUGGCGAGUGGCGAACGGGUGAGUAAUAUAUCGGAACGUACCUUAUUGUGGGGGAUAACGCAGCGAAAGCUGUGCUAAUACCGCAUAAUCCCUAAGGGGGAAAGCGGGGGACCGUAAGGCCUCGCGCAAUUAGAGCGGCCGAUACCUGAUUAGCUAGUUGGUGAGGUAAAGGCUCACCAAGGCAAAGAUCAGUAGCUGGUCUGAGAGGACGAUAAGACACACGGUGAAUGUGACACUGCCCAGGCUCCUACAGGAGGGAGCAGUGGGGAAUUUUGGACAAUGGGGGCAACCCUGAUCCAGCAAUGCCGCGUGAGUGAAGAAGGCCUUCGGGUUGUAAAGCUCUUUUGUCAGGGAAGAAACAGCAGCUCUAACACAGUUUGCGAAUGACGGUACCUGAAGAAUAAGCACCGGCUAACUACGUGCCAGCCGCCGCCGUAA